AUGCAAGAGGUUGUUUCCACGGCUUGAACCCGUGACCUCCUGGUCACAUGACAACAACUUUACCAGUUACGCUAAGGCUCCCCUUCUACUGUGGUCUAGUGAGAAGAGGAUUUAUUGUAGCAGUUUGAGGUGGAUUUUAGUGCUAUUUUACUCUUUCUGCUAUGAUGGAAAGAUGGAUGGGGAAAUUCAAGUUUUAGAAUUGAUGGCUGAUGAGAAAAUUAGAUACCUAUUUGAUCAUUUGUGUACAGUUGUGCGAUUUCGUGUUUCCUGGGCAUUGGAAAGGCUGAGCUCGAAGUUGCAUUUUCUGCGAAUGCUGUUAAUUCAGGUGCGUCUUUUUAUUAUCAAGCAGUGUGAUCCUGUUCUUAAUAUAUUUCUUCUUGACAAGAUUACAUAAUGGAGAAUAGUGAGAGAAUGCAGAAUGCAUAAUGCAAACAAGCUGACAUGGGCAAAUAUUUAACUCAUGUGAAUUUUGUGCCUUUCUCUUGGUCUCACUGGCAUACAUUUUGAAUGCUGUUAGUGAGCAGUGUGGUAAGAAUUUUGUCAUCGGUGUUCCUAUUGGUAGUGAACAGUAGUCAAAGAUGACCUGUAUGUAAGGAUUCAUUUAUUAAUUUUUUGUCUUAGUUCUUUUUAGGACUACAUCAUAUAUUACCCGAUUGGAGCAGUUCUGAAAUUUCUGUGCAAAAGUAUAUUUUGAUCUUGUGUUUACUCGGUUCAAGUUCAUUGAGCAUGGAGGUCUAAAACUUUGAAAGACUUUCAUCAAUGUUGGAACAAGAUAAUCGUUAUUCUUGUUUGAUCGUUUAGAGUCUUUCAUCAACUGGUCAUGAAAGAUUUAAUUGUAUUCUCCAUGUAUGUGUUUAUAUUUGUGCUUUCACUUGUUGACAUACAAAAGAACAAAAAAAAAUCUAAAUACCUUUUGUUUGAAGAACUUCCAAAGCACCAGUUCAUUCAUAAGAGGAGUUGCUUGUAAUCUUUUAAGGUUUUUGCCCAUGUGAUGUCGUUUUCCCAUCUCCUGUCACUUUUCCUCUCACCUCAAAAUGGUGACUUCAGGGUUUUAGCUUAUGCAAUUUCUCUUGGGUCAAGUUGAGUGGGUUGGGCUACGACCCAUUCUUUAGCCCAUCUGGAUCCAAGCCUUCUUAGCCCAAGUAGAUUUUUGGUGGUUCGGUCAGACCCAUUUAUUGACCGAACCCAUUUUAACUUUUGCCCAAAUUUGACGCACUGCAGAAUCACAAAUCAGAUUUGACACAUGUUUUUGAAUUUGUUUGAAGUUAAAUGGUGCAUGACAGAAUCUCCUAAAGAGCUGCUACUUUGUUGGAGUAAAAGAAGACUACAUAAAGACGAUAAAAAGUUGGGGAACGCUAUACCGACGACUAUAUGGUGGACUGUGGAAGGAGAGAUAUCAAGAUACUUUGAAGGGAAAAAGGAAAAUAUCUGUACCCUAUAGAUGUUUAGCUCUCUUAGCGUUUUGGUGUAAAAAUGAAAAUGUAAAGUAGUCAGGAUGGUUGUUUUCCUUGUAUCUUUUUUUUUGGUAAUUAAAACAUUUUAUUACCAAUGAGAAUAUUUACAGCUAACAAAAGAAAAUAGACCCUACAUCACUGGACAUUGCGUCCCCAGUGUUGUAGCAGUCUCCACUCUUCUAGCUACCUAACAUCAGAUCCUCCAUUUUAGUUAGCCUAAAAGUUCAGCUAGUGCACAACUCCUCCUACUUACUCUAACUACCACUCCAAUCCCAGUUGUCAAGGGUAAAAAUUCAAUUCUUUAGUCUCCGAGCUAGUUUUGGUUUCCUACUUCCUCUAUAGUGUAACUCCUAGAUGAUUAGCCUCACGAUCGCUGCAGCAGGUCUGGUCAUAGCGGCGAACACUCUGUUGUUCCUUUCUUGCCACACAUAAUAAAUCCCACCAGCCUCUGAAUAUCUCAGCUUUGGCAUCCUUCCCUUGCAAUGUGUCAUAGCCCAGCCAAGUUCAGCCUCCUACUCUAGUGCUUGUUUAUUCAGUCCUUGUCAUCUGAGUAGUCUCUCCCAUAUCUCAGCUGCAACAUCACAUUUGAAGAAGAAGAACAACAACAACAAUAAACCCAACUUAAUCCCAUACGUGAGGUUUGGGGAGGGUAGUGUGUACGCAGCCUUACCCCUACCCUAUAAAGGCAGAGAGGCUGUUUCCGAUAGACAACAUCACAUUUGAAGAACAAAUGGGAUAUACUCUGCUGUGCAAUACCACACAAGGGACAUGUUUGAUGAGUAAGAAUUCCCCAUUUAUGUAGUCUGUCCUUGGUGUAUAGCCUCCCAUGUGCCACCAAUCUUACAAUGAACAACCACUUUGGCGAGCCAUAGUUAUUGCAAACAAGCCUUCUCCAACUGACUUUUGUGAAUGUUCCUAGCAUCUUCUGGUAUAUUUUCUUGAUAGGAAAUUCUGCCAUGUUUUGCAUCUCAGUGAAAGUGAUCCCAGCUUCCUCAAUGUACUUAUUUGCUUUGAAAAUUUCUGUACCAUCCAAGAAGCUUGAUUAGUGUUGGCCUCCCAUAUUGCUCUCCCUUUCCCAUAGUGAGCAUGAAUCCACUAUAUGAUGGAGGGAUUGAAAAAGCACCGAUUGUCAGCCGCUAUUUCUGUUUGUUUGCCUUAAUAUUUUUUUUUUAUUGUUUAACACAUCAUGCCCCUGAGUUGGUGAGCUGUAGUGUGCUUUAAACGUUUGUUCUACUCCAGAAAGCUUCAAUCUUUCUGAGGAAGAAAAAGCACUGCCUCUAAAACUCUUCAAUUGGAGGCUGCUUCAAUUCAGAGAUCCGGAGAACAGAUUCAAUUGAUGGAAGAAACAGUGGAGAAAUUUUCAAAAGAUGGUGGUGAUAUACUUACUCUAUCUCUUUACCAGAUGGAUUUGGAUAGAACCCUGUUUCUACUAAGAUCAUACUUACGAACCCUCCCCAAAAGAUUGAAAACUAUGCAUUUCACAUACAAAAGCUACCGAGUUGGGAAUCGUAUAUGUUAACAAGAAAAGAAAUUUGCUGACAGGUGUAUUGACGACAUGGAGCAACAUCUAAAUUAAUCUGUUCUUUAAAAAUUGCCUCAUGGUUUCAAGUCUCAUUCGAAGCAAUCUUCACUAAAGUCUGGCAGAUGACAUGGGUAGACUUCCAGUUUUCCCUGCAACUUGAUUGAAAUAAAUUUUGUUCAAUUCUCUUCUCCAACCACCUUGAUAUGCAUCUGUGUAUGCAUGUUUGGGUUUAUCCAUCUCCUUGUUGAGCUAAGAGAGUUCCCAGGAUCUGUGCCAAAAAAAAAAUGAAAAAGCAUGUUUAUAUAAUAAAAGAUCUAAAUGAUCUAAAUUGUCUAUGAAUACGAGGGUGCAACAAUUAUAAAUGCUCUAAAAAAUGAGCAAAAUCUGCAAUCUGAUUGUGAGUUUAGUAGAAGGCAUGAAAUUGUUGAGCGACUUUCUGCAACAUUCUAAUUGUCUCUGAUGUUCUCUAGUGUACUAUUACAAUUUGAAAAGUUAGUAGAAAUGAACUACUACACUACAGCUCCAA
Molecule: RNA transcript, 3502 nt
Organism: Nicotiana attenuata
Lineage: Eukaryota; Viridiplantae; Streptophyta; Magnoliopsida; Solanales; Solanaceae
Exons: 4
Source: RefSeq, a predicted model, not a curated record